UUUCCGUAGGUGAACCUGCGGAAGGAUCAUUCAUAAUAAGUGUUUAAUGGCACUUUUUUAAAUCCAUAUCCACCUUGUGUGCAAUGUCAGGGUUGAUUUUUCUCUCGAGAGGAUCAACCCCAAACAUCAACUAUAUCUCAACUCUUUGUCUGAAAAAUUUUAUGAAUAAAACAAUUCAAAAUACAACUUUCAACAACGGAUCUCUUGGCUCUC
This 213-nucleotide unclassified non-coding RNA is filed under the name plant metagenome. RNAcentral describes it as "partial contains small subunit ribosomal RNA, internal transcribed spacer 1, and 5.8S ribosomal RNA". The record is from RNAcentral.